UCAAGCGACUGUUUAACAAAAACACAGGUCUCUGCUAACGCGAAAGCGGAUGUAUAGGGGCUGACUCCUGCCCAGUGCCAGAAGGUUAAGUGAAAAGGUGUAACAGCUUUGAAAUGAAGCCCUGGUGAACGGCGGCCGUAACUCUAACGGUCAACCGAACGGUCCAACCAGGCCUUGGGCGCAAGCCCUCGGCUCGGAGGCUGUUUAAGGCCGUUGUAAAAUCUGGCUAUAUGCUGGGAAACCCGAGUAUCCGGCGCUACCCGUUGAUCGAAUCUGGGUCAAUUGGUGACAAUGCGUCCGGUGCGGACAAUCAGCAGGAAAGACCGUGAAGGAAAUCCCUGCGCCACGUUCCGGACACUGUCAAGGAAUGGUCCAUGGACGGGGUGGAACUUCAAGGAAUCCUCAGAGACCAUACGCCAGACCCGCUGUCGGAACGUGCGGGAAGAUAUGGUCCGAUCUGUGUGGCGACAUGCAGAGGGCGGCAGAAAUGACCGUCCCCUCCGGUACUCAGCCAAACAGGCAACUGUCUGACCGGGAAUCGGGGAGUAACAAAUUGCCUAAGGUAGCGAAGUCCCUUGUCGGGUAAGUUCCGACCCGCAUGAAUGGUUGAACGACUUGGCCAUUGUCUCGGCGGAGGGCUCGGUGAAAUUGCGGUGCCCGUGAAGACGCGGGCGACCUGCGGCAGGACAAAAAGACCCUGUGGAGCUUUACUGUAGCCUGGUAUUGGGCUGGGAGCCGUCAUGUGUAGGAUAGGUGGGAGGCUAUGAUGCCCCGACGCCAGUCGGGGCGGAGCCGCCGUUGAAAUACCACCCUUGGCUGUUUUUGGUCCUAACCUCAGCGCAACUGAGGGACAGUGCCUGGUGGGCAGUUUAACUGGGGCGGUUGCCUCCUAAAAUGUAACGGAGGCGUCCAAAGGUUCCCUCAGGACGGAUGGAAAUCGUCCAUAGAACGCAUUGGCAUAAGGGAGCUUGACUGCGAGACGGACAUGUCGAGCAGGGACGAAAGUCGGCCAAAGUGAUCCCACGGCUCCGUGUGGAAGGGCCGUGGCUUAACGGAUAAAAGCUACCCCGGGGAUAACAGGCUUAUCUCGCCCAAGAGUUCACAUCGACGGCGAGGUUUGGCACCUCGAUGUCGGCUCGUCCCAUCCUGGGGCUGAAGACGGUCCCAAGGGUCCGGCUGUUCGCCGGUUAAAGGGGUACGUGAGCUGGGUUCAGAACGUCGUGAGACAGUUCGGUCUCUAUCCGCCGUGGGCGCAGGAGGCUUGAGGGAACCUCUCCCUAGUACGAGAGGACCGGGAGGGACAGACCUAUGGUGUUCCAGUUGUUCCGCCAGGAGCAGCGCUGGGUAGCCAUGUCUGGCAGUGAUAAGCGCUGAAGGCAUCUAAGCGCGAAGCAUCCCCCAAGAUGAGGCCUCCCUCCCCGAUUAACUUCGGGGGUAAGACUGCAGAGAGACUAUCUGCUUGAUAGGCCGGAUGUGUAAGGAGUGUAAGCUCUUCAGCAAACCGGUACUAACCAGUCGAGAGGCUUGACCCA
Molecule: ribosomal RNA, 1532 nt
Filed under: marine metagenome
Description: bacterial LSU rRNA
Rfam family: Bacterial large subunit ribosomal RNA
Source: RNAcentral